Molecule: non-coding RNA, 73 nt
Organism: Podarcis lilfordi (Lilford's wall lizard)
Lineage: Eukaryota; Metazoa; Chordata; Lepidosauria; Squamata; Lacertidae
Source: the annotation of a GenBank genome assembly
ACUGGGAUAGCUCAGCUGGUAGAGAAUGAGACUCUUGAUCUCAGGGCCGUUGAUUCGAGCGCCACUUUGGGUG